Homo sapiens (human) is the source of this 148-nucleotide non-coding RNA. It matches the Rfam family "Metazoan signal recognition particle RNA". From Rfam's summary of the family: The signal recognition particle (SRP) is a universally conserved ribonucleoprotein. It is involved in the co-translational targeting of proteins to membranes. NCBI's taxonomy places the organism in Eukaryota, Metazoa, Chordata, Mammalia, Primates, Hominidae. The record is from Rfam.
GCCGGGCGUGGUGGUGUGUGCCUGUAAUCCCAGCUACUCGGGAGGCUGAGGGAGGAGAAUUGCUUGAACUCAGGAGGCAGAGGGUGCAGUGAGCCGAGAUCAGGCCACUGCACUCCAGCCUGGGUGACAGAGCAAGACUCUGUCUCAA